Molecule: long non-coding RNA, 2455 nt
Filed under: Callithrix jacchus (white-tufted-ear marmoset)
Lineage: Eukaryota; Metazoa; Chordata; Mammalia; Primates; Cebidae
Description: lncRNA (ENSCJAG00000072064.1)
Source: RNAcentral
CUGGGAAUUCCAUGCUACUGCUGCUGCAGAGCUUUUGCAUGAAGAUGUCAGGACCCAGGACUAGAAAGCAGAAGGAGGAUCUUUCAUGCCAGACAGGAUUCCACCAUGUUGGCCAGCCUGGUCUUGAUCUCCUGACCUCAGGUGAUCCACCCACCUUGGCCUCCCAAAGUGCUGGGAUUACAGACAUGAGCCACCGCACCCGGCCAGUCUCUGACUGGUUUUGAAGCCUCCUGAAAAGAAGUAGGUGUUACAAAUUUAGUUUGGUUGAUAAAUGUGCAUUGAAACUUCUCCAGUUGAGUUAUUGUUGACCAAGCAGAUGGAAACUUGGAAUGAUGUACCACGAGUAAGCUCACCAUCCUUCUAUCCACAUACCUAAAUAUCUCAAAAACCAAGUCUCCAAAGCCCUACAUUUCUUAGACCAUGACUAAAUGCUAACACUUUUGCCUGAGUGUAUGUGUCUAGAAAUAAAUAUGUACCAACAAGUUCAUAAUUUUUAACUAAAUUUAAUUGUGCUUUCGAAACUUGGAACAGCUAGUAGAUAAUAAGUGUGUUUGGAAGUGAUCGUUUUAAAUUCAGCAUUUAAGCAAAGAUCUCUGCGAAUCAUCUAAGCAUUUGCUUUUCAUCACUCCAUCAAAGUGUUUCUUAAUUUUAACACAAAUGGGCCUGCGGGCGGAAGACUCCUACACAAGAGGGAAAAAAACUCUUCCUAGACGUGGCUAGUAUAACAACAACACAGGGACAUAAAAUGAAGGAGAACUAAGAAAUAUUCUCUUGAAAGUGAACUGACUGAACUGAAUUUUUAGCCAAGCAAUGUGCAGGAAUGAAGUAAUUUUGGUAUUUCUGACCUCCUCUUCAAAGAUGUUCCAAAUUUCACAUCUUCUGGUGUAGACAGUGUCUCAACAAUGCUCCACAGUAAACUUAUUCUCUGAUACACCAACACAGGAAGAAGUUUUGGGAGAUGAAUUAUUUAUGAUGAACUUUGAAGAUCGCAGGAUUUCACAAGGUUAAAGUUGACAAAAGGCAAAGAAUCUCCUCAGGAAAAAACAAUCACAUAUGAGUAAAAGUUAAUGGUAGAAAGUAACCAUGGCUCAGACUACCUCUUCUGUGAAAGUAUUUUCUUGUAUUCUCAAUGAAAAGUGCUCUUUUUCUGAUUUGGCUCGUCAAUCUUAAUCUCUACAAAUUCUAUCGAGUGCAUAAAGGGUGAAUUCUGCAUCCCACAUGAAGUUGCAUAGGUUGUAAGUGGUUGUAGCACAUACUUACUGACUUAUUCAACACUUGCAAAGCACUUACUGUGUGCCAUGAGCCAUGCCUGAUGCUGAAGUUACUAAGAAAGUAAAAGUCAAAUAACAGAGCCAGAUUUUUAAAAUUCUAACACAAUGGUGUAUGUGUUUUGAUAAUGUAUUAUCCAAACAUUUAUUAAUAAGAAUAUAAUAUGUCCCAGUUUGCCCAUCUUACACCUGUUGUGCCCAUGGAAUGAUUAAUAGCAUCCUGGUUUAGAUGGCAAAUCACAUACUUAACCCUAUUUAUUAAACAACUCACACAUGUCAAGCACCAGAAAUACAAGAAAAUUUCUCCAUUUAAGGAGUUGAAUAUUUAGUAGAGAUAAUAGUCAAAUAAAUAAUUUUAAUACAUGUGAUAAAUGUUAUAUAUUAUAGAUACAUGUAGAAUGCCUUCAAAGUUUAUUUGUAGCAUAUCUGUUCCAGACCAGGCACCAAGAAUACUUUUCAGUGUCCUUUCGGACAGGUAGUCUUAAAUGAAUAAACGAGUUAAGUGAAGAAAGAAUGUUUCAAAUAGAAGAUGUAGUUGCCCAUGCAAAGGAACAAGAGAGGGUGCAGCAAUUUUCAAGAACUAAAAGCAUUUGAUCUGUCUGGAACAUUGCCUGCAAGCACGGAGGGACGGGAGGUGGAGCUGGAGGGGUAAUAGCUGCAUCAUGAAGGAUCUCAUAUGAUAAUUUAAGGUCUGAACUGAAUACUGAGGCUUGAGACGUUAUUGGUGCGUAAAACACUGGGUUGCUUUAACAUAACAUGGAGCACAAAAUAGAGCGGGCAUGAGUACAGAGAGAGGUAAGCAGACAUUUUGGGGUGAGAUUUACAUAAAAUCUCUUUAAGUGACCUUAAUUUGGCAUCAGUUUUUUUUCUCCUUCAUUUUAUUGCUUUCUGCUUGGAAUAGGAAUGUGAUGUCUGGAUUCCAGCAAACAUCUUGUGACCUUGAGGAAGAAAGUGACAUGUAGUGAAUGAGCGAGGCAAAAAUAAUGAGUCUGGAUUUUUACAACUUUGUGCAUUCAUCUUCCUAGUUAUAGAUCACCUACAUUUGCACUACCCCAUCCCUGUUACUCUCCUUCCACAGCGUGAACCUGAUCCUCUAACUGGUGUGCAUCAUUCCAUAACUACUUAUUUUAUUGCAUAUGAAUCUAAAAUAAAUUUAUCAUCUUGCAUUAUAUUAAUUAGGAUGCAUA